This 453-nucleotide ribosomal RNA is filed under the name uncultured bacterium. Its description in RNAcentral is "bacterial SSU rRNA". It matches the Rfam family "Bacterial small subunit ribosomal RNA", at positions 340 to 786 of the family's 1533-position model. The record is from RNAcentral.
UACGGGAGGCAGCAGUGGGGAAUAUUGCACAAUGGGCGCAAGCCUGAUGCAGCCAUGCCGCGUGUAUGAAAAGGCCUUCGGGUUGUAAAGUACUUUUCAGUCGUGAGGAAGGUGUUAAGGUUAAUAACCUUAGCAAUUGACGUUAGCGACAGAAGAAGCACCGGCUAACUCCGUGCCAGCAGCCGCGGUAAUACGGAGGGUGCGAGCGUUAAUCGGAAUUACUGGGCGUAAAGGGCACGCAGGCGGUUAAUUAAGUUGGAUGUGAAAUCCCCGGGCUUAACCUGGGAAUGGCAUUCAAGACUGGUUAGCUAGAGUCUUGUAGAGGGGGUAGAAUUCCAUGUGUAGCGGUGAAAUGCGUAGAGAUGUGGAGGAAUACCGGUGGCGAAGGCGGCCCCUGGACAAAGACUGACGCUCAUGUGCGAAAGCGUGGGGAGCAAACAGGGAUUAGAUACC